RNAcentral lists this ribosomal RNA (400 nucleotides) under uncultured bacterium. RNAcentral describes it as "bacterial SSU rRNA". It matches the Rfam family "Bacterial small subunit ribosomal RNA", at positions 355 to 760 of the family's 1533-position model. The record is from RNAcentral.
UGGGGAAUUUUGCACAAUGGGGGAAACCCUGAUGCAGCAACGCCGCGUGGACGAUGAAGACCCUUGGGUUGUAAAGUCCUUUCGGCAGGGACGAAUUCCCGCAAGGGAUUGACGGUACCUGCAGAAGAAGCCCCGGCUAACUCCGUGCCAGCAGCCGCGGUAAUACGGGGGGGGCAAGCGUUGUUCGGAAUUAUUGGGCGUAAAGGGCGCGUAGGCGGUGCGGUAAGUCUGCUGUGAAACCUCCAGGCUUAACUUGGAGCUGGCAGCAGAAACUGCCGUGCUAGAGUGCGGGAGAGGAGAGUGGAAUUCCUGGUGUAGCGGUGAAAUGCGUAGAUAUCAGGAGGAACACCGGUGGCGAAGGCGGCUCUCUGGACCGCAACUGACGCUGAGGCGCGAAAGC